UAGGGAAUCUUCGGCAAUGGGGGGAACCCUGACCGAGCAACGCCGCGUGAGUGAAGAAGGUUUUCGGAUCGUAAAGCUCUGUUGUUAAGGAAGAACGAGUGUGAGAAUGGAAAGUUCAUGCUGUGACGGUACUUAACCAGAAAGGGACGGCUAACUACGUGCCAGCAGCCGCGGUAAUACGUAGGUCCCGAGCGUUGUCCGGAUUUAUUGGGCGUAAAGCGAGCGCAGGCGGUUAGAUAAGUCUGAAGUUAAAGGCAGUGGCUCAACCAUUGUAGGCUUUGGAAACUGUUUAACUUGAGUGCAGAAGGGGAGAGUGGAAUUCCAUGUGUAGCGGUGAAAUGCGUAGAUAUAUGGAGGAACACCGGUGGCGAAAGCGGCUCUCUGGUCUGUAACUGACGCGGAGGCUCGAAAGCGUGGGGAGCGAACAGG
Molecule: ribosomal RNA, 429 nt
Filed under: Bacteroidota bacterium
Lineage: Bacteria; Pseudomonadati; Bacteroidota
Description: Bacteroidetes bacterium partial 16S ribosomal RNA
Rfam family: Bacterial small subunit ribosomal RNA
Source: RNAcentral